AUCUAUGGCCAUACCACCCUGAAGACACACAAUCUCAUCUGAUCUGGGAAGCUAAGCAGGGUCGACCCUGGUUAGUACUUGGAUGGGAGACUGCCUGGGAAUACUGGGUGCUGUAGGCU
Loxodonta africana (African savanna elephant) is the source of this 119-nucleotide ribosomal RNA. The record is from Ensembl. NCBI's taxonomy places the organism in Eukaryota, Metazoa, Chordata, Mammalia, Proboscidea, Elephantidae.